AACAACGUUCUCAAAUCACUCACAAAUGCUCAAACCGCCUCGGAUUGGGUCAACAAAUAUGUAAAAGCAUACUCAAUCGUCAAAAUCAAAUACAUUGCCGUUGGCAAUGAAGUUCACCCGGGUUCAGCCGAAUCAAGUUCAGUUCUUCCUGCAAUGCAAAACAUUCAAAAAGCAAUAUCUUCAGCAAAUUUACAAGGCCAAAUUAAAGUGUCUACCGCGAUAGACACAACACUAAUUGGAAAAUCUUACCCACCAAAAGACGGUGUUUUUAGUGACGCUGCAAGUGGUUACAUAAAGCCUAUUGUUAACUUCUUAGUUAGCAACGGUUCGCCACUUCUUGCUAAUGUGUACCCUUAUUUCGCGUAUGUAAAUAACCAACAA
RNAcentral lists this long non-coding RNA (381 nucleotides) under Medicago truncatula (barrel medic). Its description in RNAcentral is "long non-coding RNA (MTRU_LNC002042)". The record is from RNAcentral. Lineage: Eukaryota; Viridiplantae; Streptophyta; Magnoliopsida; Fabales; Fabaceae.